This 634-nucleotide ribosomal RNA is filed under the name uncultured bacterium. RNAcentral describes it as "bacterial SSU rRNA". It matches the Rfam family "Bacterial small subunit ribosomal RNA", at positions 74 to 705 of the family's 1533-position model. The record is from RNAcentral.
AGCACUUCGGUGCGAGUACAGCGGCGGACGGGUGAGUAACGCGUAGGAAUCUACCUAGUAGUGGGGGACAACAUGUGGAAACGCAUGCUAAUACCGCAUACGCCCUAUGGGGGAAAGCAGGGGAUCUUCGGACCUUGCGCUAUUGGAUGAGCCUGCGUCAGAUUAGCUAGUUGGUGGGGUAAUGGCCUACCAAGGCAACGAUCUGUAGCUGGUCUGAGAGGAUGACCAGCCACACUGGAACUGAGACACGGUCCAGACUCCUACGGGAGGCAGCAGUGGGGAAUAUUGGACAAUGGGCGCAAGCCUGAUCCAGCCAUGCCGCGUGUGUGAAGAAGGCUCUAGGGUUGUAAAGCACUUUCAGUAGGGAGGAAAAGUUAGUAGUUAAUAUCUGCUAACCCUGACGUUACCUACAGAAGAAGCACCGGCAAACUCCGUGCCAGCAGCCGCGGUAAUACGGAGGGUGCGAGCGUUAAUCGGAAUUACUGGGCGUAAAGCGCGCGUAGGCGGUUUGAUAAGCUGGAUGUGAAAGCCCUGGGCUCAACCUGGGAACUGCAUCCAGAACUGUCUGACUAGAGUACAGUAGAGGUGAGUGGAAUUUCCUGUGUAGCGGUGAAAUGCGUAGAUAUAGGAAGGA